Molecule: long non-coding RNA, 309 nt
Filed under: Pan troglodytes (chimpanzee)
Lineage: Eukaryota; Metazoa; Chordata; Mammalia; Primates; Hominidae
Description: long non-coding RNA NONPTRT003122
Source: RNAcentral
UGGGAUGCUCCCACGCCCCCUGUGUGGCUCAGGGAUGAGGCACUUCUCUCUCAGCCACUCAACUGAUGGAAGGAAAAGGCGAUGGAAAGUCUAACUUUUCUGAAACAGGUUUCCAGCAGCUGCUGCUUGUCUUGCUCCUCCCGCAUGAACAGCUCCACCAUGAGCACCUUCUCCUUGUGGAUCUGCUGGCUGAUGUCCUUGGGGAUGUCCGGGAUGACCCAGUCCACAAAGUCGCUCAUGAACAUGACCAGGUUCUGGAAGGAGAGGCAACGCGUGGCAGAGGGGAGGAUGGCGCCUGGGGAAGUGCUC